UGAAUAAUUUCUAAAUUGUUUUCUUACUGAUACAGGUGAAAUUAUUCCAGCUUCAAGUUCAAGGAGUUGCUAUGUGGUUACUAGGGUGUUCUAAAUCAUUAGGUGUUUCCCAAAUCACGUAGGCUAUGUAUGCACUAUUCUAUGAUGUUUUGUAUUAUAAAUAGUGUAAGUAGUGCAUUCACACUGAAAAUUCCAAGAAGACCUGAAAGAUGCACUUAAAUAACUUAAAAAUAUUGGACAAAUCAUGCACUCAGCUGUCCCAGCUUUAAUUAUGUAGCGAAUGGGCAAGGGGCAAAAUUAAUCCGAUUAUGAACGGCAAAAUAACCUCAUGUAAUUCAUACACUACAUGGUUGACUGCAUACACUCUAAAAAACGCUGGGUUGUUUUUUCAACCCAACUGCUGGGUUGAGGCCGUUGGAUAGGACUUUGGGAUGUUUUAACCCAAGUUUGGGUUGAAAAUAACUCUCUUUUUUAACCCAGCGGGGUGGGUUGAGGACGAGGACGUGAAGGAGAGCACGCACGUCACGUCAAAAUCGUACGUCUCCAGUGCGAGCAGCCGCCAUUUUCUCAGCGUGAUAGAAGCGAGAAGCGAGUGAAACACUAUGACUUGUCCAGCUCCUGUCUUCAUUGUCCUCGCGCUGAGAAUUAAAGACACAGAAGCUGUUUGUGUGAGGAGUCACAGACCUGUGUGAGGAUGAGGAGGAGGUGUUCUUCUGAAGAGCGGGACAGACGGAGAAGACUAAAAUAAUGUGUGUGUUUUUUUUAGAUGUUGAAAUCCAGAGACAAGAUAACUUCAUUCUUUUGAGACUGAUAACUCAAACUAACUGGAGUUAAGGAGUUAAGGUGGUUUUCUCAGCUUCUUCUGAAGAGAGG
Molecule: long non-coding RNA, 873 nt
Organism: Carassius gibelio (silver crucian carp)
Lineage: Eukaryota; Metazoa; Chordata; Actinopteri; Cypriniformes; Cyprinidae
Exons: 3
Source: RefSeq, a predicted model, not a curated record